Gallus gallus (chicken) is the source of this 1028-nucleotide long non-coding RNA. The record is from Ensembl. Lineage: Eukaryota; Metazoa; Chordata; Aves; Galliformes; Phasianidae.
UGAGGGCUGUGGUUCCAAUUAGAGCACCUUCUGCUCAGGCUCAUGGGCUGCAGAGCUGCUUUUGGCAGUCAGGAGCAGCAGGACACAACCCUAUAGUGACCCCAUGAGAGUGGUCCUCAGAGGCAGGACCAGGCCCUCAUCUCCCUGUAAGGAGAAGAAAUAACAUGGGUUUGAAACCUCUGAACUGCAAACAGCUUGGAAACCUGACAAAAUGCAUUGCUGCCACCUCUACUCCCUGACAUAAUUUUGUUCUGUUAUACCUGACUGCAUAGCUGUAAAUACUCAAUACAGCAGGGGUUAAUGCUGUGAGUAUGCUGCCAGUUCUGGAUGGACAGAAAGAAGAGCCACAAUAACUGAAUAUAAUGCAAUGUAGAGAUGCAAUUUAACAUAGACAAACUGCAGCUGAUUGACUUAUUACACUCUUAGAAGAAAAUUCUCCAACCACUCUCAAUCUGAGUAACAAAGUGGAUGAAAGCUCCAGCUUUUGCACUGAAUUCCCUGUUUCUGGGCUCCUUGCUGCUGGGGGCUCCCAUUUACCUGAGGACGAGACUGCUGGCUCUGUGUGUGCUCAUAUGAACUUGGGGAAAACCUCUGGUGUGGAUAUGAAGGAUUGAAAAUGAGCAAUAAAUAAUAGCAAAAUAGUGGGCUCUAAUACAUUCUGCUAAGAUACUGGACUGUUUUCAGUUCUGUGCAGCUGACAGUUUUCUGUUUUCAAUAACUUAAAGUGGAGCCAUAGAAUUUCAAUCACCUUCCAUCUUAUGGAGAGCUGAAUUCCUUCAGAAUAACUCAGAGGAAUUGACUGAACCGUAUUUUUCAUGUUUCCCAAAUGAGCAGCGCUGUGCCAUGGAAAUUAGGAUGGAACGGGAAACAGACGGCUGUGCUACCUCCAUCCUGCUGAGGAGAUGAAGGUCAAAGACACCUUCAUUCUUCUCAGCACUUUUCCCAAAGGGAUUGUAAACAAGAUCACAGCCUAGUGCGAUUAAUUGUGAAUAAAACCAAUUCCUAUUGCCUCCUAACCAGACUGAGAG